UACGGAGAGUGCAAGCAUUAAUCGGAAUUAUUGGGCGUAAAGGGCGCGUAGGCGGAAAGAUAAGUCAGAUGUGAAAUUCCGAAGCUCAACUUCGGAGCUGCAUUUGAAACUAUCAUUCUAGAGGGUUGACGGAGAAACGGAAUUCCAAGUGUAGCGGUGAAAUGCGUAGAUAUUUGGAAGAACACCAGUGGCGAAAGCGGUUUUCUAGUUAAUACCUGACGCUGAGGCGCGAGAGCAAGGGGAGCAAACAGGAUUAGAUACCCGUGUAGU
RNAcentral lists this ribosomal RNA (270 nucleotides) under uncultured bacterium. Its description in RNAcentral is "partial 16S ribosomal RNA". It matches the Rfam family "Bacterial small subunit ribosomal RNA", at positions 524 to 794 of the family's 1533-position model. The record is from RNAcentral.